This 374-nucleotide ribosomal RNA is filed under the name uncultured bacterium. RNAcentral's name for it is "bacterial SSU rRNA". It matches the Rfam family "Bacterial small subunit ribosomal RNA", at positions 525 to 896 of the family's 1533-position model. The record is from RNAcentral.
ACGUAGGGUCCGAGCGUUGUCCGGAAUUAUUGGGCGUAAAGGGCUUGUAGGCGGUCCGUCGCGUCAGGAGUGAAAACUCAGGGCUUAACCCUGAGCCUGCUUUUGAUACGGGCGGACUAGAGGGAUGCAGGGGAGAACGGAAUUCCUGGUGGAGCGGUGGAAUGCGCAGAUAUCAGGAGGAACACCGGUGGCGAAGGCGGUUCUCUGGGCAUUACCUGACGCUGAGAAGCGAAAGCGUGGGGAGCAAACAGGCUUAGAUACCCUGGUAGUCCACGCCGUAAACGGUGGGCACUAGGUGUGGGGGACAUUCCACGUUCUCCGUGCCGAAGCUAACGCAUUAAGUGCCCCGCCUGGGGAGUACGGCCGCAAGGCUA